UAGGGAAUCUUCCACAAUGGACGAAAGUCUGAUGGAGCAACGCCGCGUGAGUGAAGAAGGUUUUCGGAUCGUAAAGCUCUGUUGUUGGUGAAGAAGGAUAGAGGCAGUAACUGGUCUUUAUUUGACGGUAAUCAACCAGAAAGUCACGGCUAACUACGUGCCAGCAGCCGCGGUAAUACGUAGGUGGCAAGCGUUGUCCGGAUUUAUUGGGCGUAAAGCGAGCGCAGGCGGAAUGAUAAGUCUGAUGUGAAAGCCCACGGCUCAACCGUGGAACUGCAUCGGAAACUGUCAUUCUUGAGUGCAGAAGAGGAGAGUGGAACUCCAUGUGUAGCGGUAGAAUGCGUAGAUAUAUGGAAGAACACCAGUGGCGAAGGCGGCUCUCUGGUCUGCAACUGACGCUGAGGCUCGAAAGCAUGGGUAGCGAACAGGAUUAGAUACCCUGGUAGUCCAUGCCGUAAACGAUGAGCGCUAGGUGUUGGGGACUUUCCGGUCCUCAGUGCCGCAGCAAACGCAUUAAGCGCUCCGCCUGGGGAGUACGACCGCAAGGUUGAAAC
RNAcentral lists this ribosomal RNA (554 nucleotides) under uncultured bacterium. RNAcentral's name for it is "partial 16S ribosomal RNA". It matches the Rfam family "Bacterial small subunit ribosomal RNA", at positions 355 to 900 of the family's 1533-position model. The record is from RNAcentral.